GGAGAGCCCGGGAGCAUCCUGCACACUGCAUUUCAGCCACAGAUAACAUGGCACCUCCGCGGGCCCGGUCCACGCCCUGACCGCUCAGAGGGUCUCAGCACCUCUGCGCCCGCAGCCCUUUUCCAGCUGCAGACAUGCUCGGGGGAUCCGGAUCGCAGGGAAGACGCAGCCUGGCCAUGCUCUCCCAUUGUGGGAGUGGGAGGCGAGAGGAGAAAUCAGGAGGCAAAGGAAGGCAAAUCGCCUACCAGCGGAACGACGAUGAUGAGGAAGAGGCCGCCCGGGAACGGCGCCGCCGUGCCCGGCAGGAAAGGCUGCGGCAGAAGCAAGAGGAAGAAUCCUUGGGACAGGUGACUGACCAAGUGGAGGUCAAUACGCAGAACAGUGUGCCCGACGAGGAGGUCAAGACGACCACCACAGACACUCAGGUGGAGGCUGACGAUGAGGCUGCACUCCUGGAGCGCCUGGCCCGGCGGGAGGAAAGACGCCAGAAACGCCUCCAGGAAGCACUGGAGCGCCAAAAGGAUUCCGACCCAACAAUAGCAGAUGCAAGUUUGUUGCUACCCAGCAGAAGAAUGCAAAACAACACAGCAGAAAAUGAAAUGGCAGAGAAGGAAGAAAAAAGCGAAAGUUGCCGGGAAAGAUACGAGAUAGAGGAAACAGAAACAGUCACCAGGUCCCACCAGAAGAAUGAUUGGAUGGAUGCUGAAGAGAAAAGGGAAGAAGAAAAAGAAAAGGAGGAAGAAGAAGAGGAAGAGGAGAAGCCAAAGCAAGGGAGCAUUGAAGAAAAUCAGGUAGAGGUGGUGGCAGAAGAGAAAGCAGCAGAAACCCAGGAGGAAACAGUAAUGUCAUUGAAAAAUGGGCAGAUCGGUACAGAUGAGCCUAAGACAGAAGAGGAGAGGGAAAAAGGCUCACAUGAGAUUCCCCAUAAUGAAAAGAUGGAACAGGAAGCAAGGGAAAGAGCUGAGGCAGAAAGGGCCAGGUUGGAAGCAGAAGAAAGAGAGAGAAUUAAAGUCGAGCAAGAACAAAAAAUAGCAGAGGAGAAAGCGAGAAAGGAAGCAGAAGAAAAAGCAGCUGCACAAGAGAGAGAAAGACAGGAGGCAAAGGAGAGGGAAAGGAUUAAGGAGGAGGAGAGAAGGGCAGCAGAGGAGAGGCAGAGGGCAAAGGAGAGGGAAAGGAUUAAGGAGGAGGAGAGAAGGGCAGCAGAGGAGAGGCAGAGGGCAAAGGCAGAGGAAGAAGAGAGAGCUAAGAUAGAAGAGCAAAAACGUAAGAAGCAACUAGAAGAGAAAAAAAGGGAAAUGCAAGAGAAAAAGAUAAAAGGGGAAAAGGUAGAGGAGAAAACAGAAGGGAAGUGGGUCAAUGAAAAGAAAGUACAAGAAGAUAAACUUCAGACAGCUGUCCAAAAGAAACAGAUCAAAGAUGAGAAGACUAAAAGGGACAAAGAAAGCAAAGAAGUUAAGAGCUUCUUGGAUGGAAAGAAGGGAUUUACAGAAAUGAAGUCGCAGAAUGGAGAAUUCAUGACUCACAAACUUAAACACACUGAGAAUACUUUCAGCCGCCCUGGAGGGAGGGCCAGCGAGGCCAAGGAGGCUGAAGGUGCUUCCCAAGUGGAAGCCGGCAAGCGGCUGGAGGAGCUGCGCCGCCGCCGCGGGGAAACUGAAAGCGAGGAGUUCGAGAAGCUCAAGCAGAAGCAGCAGGAGGCGGCCUUGGAGCUGGAGGAGCUGAAGAAGAAGAGGGAGGAGCGAAGGAAGGUCCUGGAGGAGGAGGGGCAGAGGAGAAAGCAGGAGGAAGCCGAGCGGAGAGUCAGAGAGGAGGAAGAGAAGAGGAGGCUAAAGGAAGAGAUUGAAAGGCGAAGGGCAGAAGCUGCUGAGAAACGCCAAAAGAUGCCAGAAGAUGGCUUAUCAGACGACAAGAAGCCCUUCAAGUGUUUCACUCCUAAAGGUUCAUCUCUCAAGAUAGAAGAGCGAGCAGAAUUUUUGAAUAAAUCUGUGCAGAAAAGCAGUGGUGUUAAACCAACUCAUCAAGCAGCAGUAGUCUCCAAGAUUGACAGCAGACUGGAGCAAUACACCAGUGCAAUUGAGGGAACAAAAACUGCAAAACCUACGAAGCCAGCAGCCUCGGACCUCCCUGUUCCUGCCGAAGGUGUCCGCAACAUCAAGAGCAUGUGGGAGAAAGGCAAUGUGUUCUCAUCACCCACUGCAUCAGGCACGCCAAAUAAGGAAACAGCUGGCUUAAAGGUGGGGGUCUCCAGCCGCAUCAAUGAAUGGCUUACCAAAACCCCAGAUGGAAACAAGUCACCUGCUCCCAAACCUUCUUACACGGGCCCCUCACCGCCGCGGCCCCUCCCGCCGCGGAGCACAGGCUCCGGACGCGCAGGCCCAGCGGCCAUGGCCCACGGGCCCAGCCGCUCCGUGGCAUGCGGGGUCCUCCCGGACCGGGGCACGAACCCGCGUCCCCUGCAUCAGCAGGCAGACUCCCAACCACUGCGCCACCAGGGAAGCCCUAUAUUCCUUCUUUUAAAUUAUAAUUUGAACAUGUUUUUAAGGUGUGGAGGCAUGCAUUCUUUAACUUGUUGAUUCCUUCUUUUUUAAAAUUUUCUUAAACCAGCCUCUUCAGGCAUGUGUUUCCAGCCUGGCCCUUCAUGUCAGGCCUGUGAGUUUGACACCCUUGGGAUUCUGGUCAGACUGACCCUGAACCCAGGAUGUCAGAGGAUUACCUAAAGACAGCAGCAAAUAGACUCCCAAAGGCUCCCUUCUAAUUUGCGACCAGAGCUGAAUUUUCUUCUUCAUUCUUUGAUCUCUGGUUGACUGGAAACCUGCUUCCCUGCCUUCAUUUCUCCCUCUUCUUCUGGAGUGGGUCUUUCUCUAAAAUGUAGGCUGGUCAGGAUUUGAGGCCAGGAGACGUAUCUGGCAAGCGGAACCUCUGGGAAAAGCAAUCUGUGGACAAGGUCACUUCCCCCACUAAGGUCUGAGACAGUUCAAGAAAGAACCCAAAGUAGCCGCUCAAGAUGCCGGACCAGCUCAGUUGAAGAGGGCUCAUUUACUCUGUGUUAUAUUUAUGUUGAUUUACUAAAUUGGGUUCAUUUCCUUUUGUUUUGUUUUUCAUUAUCCCAGUAAACCCAUGUAUAUUAUCACUAUAUUUAAUAAUCACGGUCUAGAGAUGUUCAUGGUAAAAGUAUUGCCUUUGCACAGGAGCCUGUUUCUAAAGAAACCCAUGCUGUGAAAUAGAGACUUUUCUACUGAUCAUCAUAACUCUGUGUCUGAACAGUGAUAGUAACCACAUCGGAAGUCAACAAAAGGAGAUUCAAGUUGAAAAUUGCCUGAGGAAUGUGUGCAGUAUCCAGAAAAAUGAACCAUAGUGUUUUUUUUGUUUUUUUGUUUUUUAAAUACAGAAAUCAUGUUGUUUCUGCACUUUAGAAUAAAGCAUGGAAGAAAUUAUCUUAGUAGGCAAUUAUAACACUUUGUGAAAGUCACCCACUUCAGAUUUUAGAUACUACAAUAAUGAUUGUCUUUAAAAAAAAAAAAGAUGUACUGUUAAGGUAUUACUUUUUUCAUGCUGAUGAAUAUCUAAAUUGGAUUUUGAUGUUAGCUGACAGUGGUACUGAUUUCUUUAGGUUGGUUGCUUUGUGGAUUUCUUUGGUAGUGAUAGUGAACCACAUUUUAGAUGACGUGAUCAUGUAUGUAUGUGCAUACACAUAUACAAACACACUAAUGGUAGAAAGCUUUUCUAUGUGCUAGGCUAUUAUAUUUAGCAGUAUGUCCCUGUAACUAGCCAAUAUCACUGCUUUUUAAAAAUUAAAAAUCACAAUAUUAUAUUAAUAUUUGCCAAUAGAAACAUGGCAGAAUAGGUAUCGAUAUGUUUCCAAUGCCCAAUAACCUAUAAGAAAGAGAUUAGAAAUGUCAAAAUGAAUUGACAUUUUCUAUAAAGCAUAGUAUUUAGUUUAUAAUUAAAAGCAGUCUUGAAGUCCAGUGUGAAUUGUACUAAAUCUCAAAGCUUGCUCCAAACUUCAUUCUUAAGAAUCAAGUUCACAAUCGGUUGGCUUAGAUGAUGUCUGAGGUCUCUUCCUUCUCUAAAAUUUAAACACGAGAAUUUUAGUGACAAAGUUGUACAGAUUGGAAUUCCAUGAAUAGGUGUACUACGGCCAACUUUGGGUAAUCUCUGGAAGCAGAAAAGUAAGCAAAAGCCAAUAUUUAGGAGUCAUGACAGUACUUCCAUCUUUAACUUACCGAAACAUCUUUUUAGUUUACUUUUCUACCUUUAUUAGUCAUUGGCACUUGCCAUAAGUUGAUAAUGUGUUGAACUUUCAAAAAAUAUAUGUAAUUUUUAUUAGUUUUACCUUUUUCCCUAAGAGUCUAUCAACUCGUCAUUUGUACACACCCAAUCCAGGUAUCAGAUCUUAUUUUAGCUAAUAAGCGUUCAUCUAUUCUUCACAAUAGAUGAUAAAAGAGUACUCCAGUGUCUUGGCAAUAUGUUCUAGCAUAGAGAUAUACAUAUAGUGUAGUUCUAUAAACGUAUACCUCAUGACUUACCAAAAUUGUCUUAGUCUCAAUUCCUACACAACGAGGGAGCCUCCCAAAUGACUCUUUUCUAAUCCACAGUGUUCCCCUGGGAGAGCUAGCCAGGGUAGGGCUGGCAUGAGGAGUGACCAGUGCCUUCCAAAGUCCAUUUUCCUCAUAAAUCAGUAGAGUUGUUGAAUCCUCUAGCUUUUAGCACAUCUGGGCCAAAGAAAGUAAAGCCAGCAAUAUUGCAUAAGUCACCCAUCCAUGACAGAGUAGACAUGAGUCUGUGAUACGAUGGACUAGAAUUCACAUGCAGUGCCUGAGUUGGCAUUGCCUCCCAGCAUUCGGGUGAAAUGGAUCAAAGUUUGAAUUAAGUCCUAUGGCAAGAUAACAUUUCUUUGUUGUACUUUUGAAUAAGAGCCUCUCCUGAUCACUAUUAUAUGUUUUUUUCUAGAAAGUCUAAAUUUAAGAAGAGAAUAUAUCGAUCGAUCCUGACUUUUAUUCCAAUAUUUGGAUGGAAUAAGUUUUAAGGUAGAAUUUUGUUCAGUUUGGAUUUAAUUUCUUGAAAAAUUCCUUGUUUACUUGUUUGAUUACAAUUCUCUCUGUUAUCUUUUUAAGAAGUAAAACUGCAAGGUGACUAGCAUGUUCUGUGAAUCUGCCAUUCCUAAAAAUUUUAUAAACACGAUAUUUUUCACUGAUAAUUGAUCGCUGCAAUAAAUAUAUAUUGUGAAAAUGCAUCCACAAUAAAUGGAAUUCCUCCAAAUGUCUUUGCCUCACUUAUUUUUAUGUACUAUAUUGAUUACAAGAGUUCUAUCUGAUGUAAUAAAGAUGAUGGUAUAGCAAAAUGCAUAUUUCA
Molecule: RNA transcript, 5352 nt
Organism: Orcinus orca (killer whale)
Lineage: Eukaryota; Metazoa; Chordata; Mammalia; Artiodactyla; Delphinidae
Gene: CALD1
Gene name: caldesmon 1
Exons: 15
Source: RefSeq, a predicted model, not a curated record